UUUAAUAUGGCAGAUUAAUGCACUAGAUUUAAGCUCUAUUCAUAAAGUUUUACUUUUAUUAAAA
RNAcentral lists this transfer RNA (64 nucleotides) under Culicoides brevipalpis. Its description in RNAcentral is "tRNA-Leu". The record is from RNAcentral. Lineage: Eukaryota; Metazoa; Arthropoda; Insecta; Diptera; Ceratopogonidae.